Molecule: ribosomal RNA, 445 nt
Filed under: uncultured bacterium
Lineage: Bacteria
Description: partial 16S ribosomal RNA
Rfam family: Bacterial small subunit ribosomal RNA
Source: RNAcentral
GUGAGGAAUAUUGCGCAAUGGAGGCAACUCUGACGCAGCCAUGCCGCGUGCAGGAAGAAGGCGCUACGCGUUGUAAACUGCUUUUAACCGGGAAGAAACCCCAGGACGUGUCCUGGGUUGACGGUACCGGAGGAAUAAGCACCGGCUAACUUCGUGCCAGCAGCCGCGGUAAUACGAAGGGUGCAAGCGUUAUCCGGAUUCAUUGGGUUUAAAGGGUGCGUAGGCGGAGCGUUAAGUCAGUGGUGAAAUCCUGCAGCUUAACUGUAGACUUGCAAUUGAUACUGGCGCUCUUGAGUGCGCUUGAAGUGGGCGGAAUGUGCCGUGUAGCGGUGAAAUGCUUAGAUAUGGCACAGAACACCAAUUGCGAAGGCAGCUCACUAAGGCGAUACUGACGCUGAGGCACGAAAGCGUGGGGAUCGAACAGGAUUAGAAACCCCUGUAGUCC